CAUGGAUGUAAAGUUCCACUGGCAUGGAUGAAACAGGAGGGUCAGGGACAUAAACAGCAGAGCCCUUAAGUUGCUCAGGUUUUUUGAAAUCUCCUCUCCAUACCUUGAGGACUGGAUGUAUGAAGAAAAUUCCUUCAGUCUUGGAGCUGGAAAAGCAGGGAAAGUGCAACAACUGAACUUGUUCUGGAAUGACCAUGCUGAAAACACCAUCUUUUUUGUCCUUAUAUUGGUGACAGUAAGUCCUGCAUCUCUGAAUACACUGGAUUAAGUCAAGAUGGAGUCUACUUUUCUAUUUUUACUUCUCGGUUUCCAGCUUAAUUUGCCACGUGUAAUGGACAGUUCCCUGCUAACAAUUGGCAAUGGAUGCUGGUGCUCAG
Molecule: long non-coding RNA, 377 nt
Filed under: Calidris pugnax (ruff)
Lineage: Eukaryota; Metazoa; Chordata; Aves; Charadriiformes; Scolopacidae
Description: lncRNA (ENSCPUG00000017140.1)
Source: RNAcentral